UACGGGAGGCAGCAGGCACGCAAAUUACCCACUGGCCGAAGGCCGAGGUAGUGACGAAAAAUAACGAUACCGGACUCAUCCGAGGCCCGGUAAUCGGAAUGAGUACACUUUAAAUCCUUUAACGAGGAACAAUUGGAGGGCAAGUCUGGUGCCAGCAGCCGCGGUAAU
Molecule: ribosomal RNA, 168 nt
Filed under: uncultured bacterium
Lineage: Bacteria
Description: partial 16S ribosomal RNA
Rfam family: Eukaryotic small subunit ribosomal RNA
Source: RNAcentral